Molecule: ribosomal RNA, 483 nt
Filed under: uncultured bacterium
Lineage: Bacteria
Description: partial 16S ribosomal RNA
Rfam family: Bacterial small subunit ribosomal RNA
Source: RNAcentral
GAUGAACGCUGGCGGCGUGCCUAAUACAUGCAAGUCGAGCGAACCACUUCGGUGAUGAGCGGCGAACGGGUGAGUAACACGUAGGUGAUCUGCCCAUCAGACGGGGACAACGAUUGGAAACGAUCGCUAAUACCGGAUAGGACGAAAGUUUAAAGGUGCUUCUGGCACCGCUGAUGGAUGAGCCUGCGGCGCAUUAGCUAGUUGGUAGGGUAAAGGCCUACCAAGGCAACGAUGCGUAGCCGACCUGAGAGGGUGAACGGCCACACUGGGACUGAGACACGGCCCAGACUCCUACGGGAGGCAGCAGUAGGGAAUCUUCGGCAAUGGGCGAAAGCCUGACCGAGCAACGCCGCGUGAAUGAUGAAGGCCUUCGGGUUGUAAAAUUCUGUUAUAAGGGAAGAACGACUUUAGCAGGAAAUGGCUAGAGUGUGACGGUACCUUAUGAGAAAGCCACGGCUAACUACGUGCCAGCCGCCGCCGUAA